CCUACGGGGGGCUGCAGUGGGGAAUAUUGCACAAUGGGGGAAACCCUGAUGCAGCGACGCCGCGUGAGUGAAGAAGUAUUUCGGUACGUAAAGCUCUAUCAGCAGGGAAGAAAAUGACGGUACCUGACUACGAAGCCCCGGCUAACUACGUGCCAGCAGCCGCGGUAAUACGUAGGGGGCAAGCGUUAUCCGGAUUUACUGGGUGUAAAGGGAGCGUAGACGGCAGCGCAAGUCUGAAGUGAAAUCCCAUGGCUUAACCAUGGAACUGCUUUGGAAACUGUUGGUCUUGAGUAUCGGAGAGGCAGGCGGAAUUCCUAGUGUAGCGGUGAAAUGCGUAGAUAUUAGGAGGAACACCAGUGGCGAAGGCGGCCUGCUGGACGACAACUGACGGUGAGGCGCGAAAGCGUGGGGAGCAAACAGGAUUAGAUACCCUUGUAGUC
Molecule: ribosomal RNA, 440 nt
Filed under: uncultured bacterium
Lineage: Bacteria
Description: partial 16S ribosomal RNA
Rfam family: Bacterial small subunit ribosomal RNA
Source: RNAcentral